AUGCCUCGGGACACUUAUCCACAUCACUGGAACCCCCAGAAAAAGUGUUGCUUUAGCCUUCUCACUCCACCAUGGACUAUCUUGCCACACAAUGUACACUGGAGUAAAUCUUUCCUCUCUAAAUCUGGCCAGAACCCAUACUUCCAGGCUGGAUCAUCUGAUGUAGCUCUUCUCCUAGGAUCAUUGGCUAGAUCCAUCAGAGCAGGUACACCUGGCUACUGUCAAAGAAAAAGAGAGAAGAGCCAAAUCACUAGAGCAGCCAGAUCAAGCAUGGGGAAGGAGAGAAGCAGUGGUGGGGCUGCUGCCUUGUGGGUGGAGAAGCAGAUCUGGGAAGAAACAGAUGCAGAUGAGAAGGAGCAGGCAAGCACAUCUAGCUACACUGUUGUGCAUAAGAGAGGCAGCACCUAA
Molecule: ribosomal RNA, 408 nt
Filed under: Triticum aestivum (bread wheat)
Lineage: Eukaryota; Viridiplantae; Streptophyta; Magnoliopsida; Poales; Poaceae
Description: partial small subunit ribosomal RNA
Source: RNAcentral